GCUCAAAUUUGAAAUCUGGUAGCCUUCGGCUGCCCGAGUUGUAAUCUAGAGAAGUGUUUUCCGUGCCGGCCCAUGUACAAGUCCCUUGGAACAGGGCGUCAUAGAGGGUGAGAAUCCCGUCCUUGACAUGGACCCCCGGUGCUUUGUGAUACACUUUCAACGAGUCGAGUUGUUUGGGAAUGCAGCUCAAAAUGGGUGGUGAAUUCCAUCUAAAGCUAAAUAUUGGCGAGAGACCGAUAGCGAACAAGUACCGUGAGGGAAAGAUGAAAAGCACUUUGGAAAGAGAGUUAAACAGUACGUGAAAUUGUUGAAAGGGAAACGAUUGAAGUCAGUCAUGCUCUUUGGAUUCAGCCGUUCUGCGGUGUAUUUCCAUUGAGUGGGGUCAACAUCAGUUUUGACCGCUGGAUAAAGGCACUAGGAAGGUAGCACUCUCGGGUGAACUUAUAGCCUAGCGUCAUAUACAGUGGUUGGGACUGAGGAACGCAGCAUGCCUUUAUGGCCGGGAUUCGUCCACGUACAUGCUUAGGAUGUUGACAUAAUGGCUUUAAACGACCCGUCU
RNAcentral lists this ribosomal RNA (559 nucleotides) under Naganishia uzbekistanensis. Its description in RNAcentral is "eukaryotic LSU rRNA". It matches the Rfam family "Eukaryotic large subunit ribosomal RNA", at positions 107 to 654 of the family's 3401-position model. Lineage: Eukaryota; Fungi; Basidiomycota; Tremellomycetes; Filobasidiales; Filobasidiaceae. The record is from RNAcentral.